Long non-coding RNA from Lolium perenne, 567 nucleotides. RefSeq lists it as uncharacterized. The record is from RefSeq and is a predicted model, not a curated record. Lineage: Eukaryota; Viridiplantae; Streptophyta; Magnoliopsida; Poales; Poaceae.
UCUAUCCAUCGCUAGCAUGCAUGCCUGAGUAGUAACAGCCAAAGUGUCUGGGACCCAUUUCGUGUGGAGAGAUUAAGAAAAGGAAGAUGCUCUACAUUGUACUGCUACUGCUGUCUUCCUCCCCGAAUCUUCCGCACCGCUCAAGCACCACCGUGGGGAGGUCGCCGCCGCCAAGCAACAACACGGGGAGGCUGCCGCCGGGGAGAUUGCCGCCACCGAGGAACACCACGGGUCCCGGCACGCCGCCUCGAGGAGCUCGUCCGCCGCUGCCUGAGGCUCGAGAUAUCCUUCCCCGGAAAGGAAGCCGAGCAAGCUCCGGCGGCGGCUACUGGAUAAAUCAGCGCCGGCAAGACCCUCCGCCCCAAUUCCCACAGGCUACUCCUCCGCUCCCCGCUGUGAGAACGCCCUCCGCUCCGCUCCAACGACCCCCUCCAGAAGAAGCGAGUGUCUGUGCUGCCGGUAGUAGUCCCAAACAGGCACACGAGCAGAGUUCCAGACUCCAGUAGAUCUGAAGAAGUGCUGAGCUUGUACAAUCUGUCGUUGUAAUAUGGCCCAGGUUUUUGCUUU